GCCUGCGUAGCUCAAUUGGAUAGAGCGUCAGACUCUUAUCAAAGGCCGAUCUGAAGGCUGUGGGUUCGACCCCCACCGUGGGCU
This 84-nucleotide transfer RNA is filed under the name Exophiala aquamarina CBS 119918. It matches the Rfam family "tRNA". From Rfam's summary of the family: Transfer RNA (tRNA) molecules are approximately 80 nucleotides in length. Their secondary structure includes four short double-helical elements and three loops (D, anti-codon, and T loops). Lineage: Eukaryota; Fungi; Ascomycota; Eurotiomycetes; Chaetothyriales; Herpotrichiellaceae. The record is from Rfam by way of RNAcentral.